ACACAUUAGAAGUUUUGGUCUGAUUAGAUGGCUGAUCUGGUGAAGAGUUCCACUGGAUUAGGACUCCAGUAAAGAGUCCCACUGGAUUGGGACUCUGGAGGAGAAUCCCACUGGACUGAGACUCUAUUAUUAAUGGAGAAUUUAUUAGCAAUUAGAUUACUAAUUGACUCAAUUUGAUUGAGCAAUGAGGUUCGAAUCAAGUUUAAUUGAAUUGAAUUCAGUUUGAUUUGGAUUAUGUUUGAUUAGAUCCAGCCUAAUUGUAAGAAAAACUUGUUCCUGAUUUGAUCAGGACUUGAAUUUAGUUAAUUCCUAAUUGAGUUAGAAAUUUAAUGAGAAGAUUGUGUUCCUAAUUAGAUUAGGUUCCUUCCUUUUAUUGGGUCUAAACCAAAUCAGAUUUGGAUUGAAUCAAAAUUAGAAAACUGAAGAGUCCCAAUCAAUUGGGAUUCUCUCCCUUGCGCAUGCCCUAGAAUCAAUGCCAUACAUAAGACGCAAAAGGAGUUUGCAUGAGGGAUUUUUUGGCAUGAGAAAAGAGGGUGCAGAGAUAGUGUGGGUGGCACUCAUGAUGAGUCAUGAAUCUUAUCUCCUUCCUCAUUUGAAUUUGAUUCAAAUCAUAGAUAAGAAAAUAAGAAAGAAAGAAAUCAAGUUUCAUGGGAA
Molecule: long non-coding RNA, 654 nt
Filed under: Elaeis guineensis (African oil palm)
Lineage: Eukaryota; Viridiplantae; Streptophyta; Magnoliopsida; Arecales; Arecaceae
Description: long non-coding RNA (EGUI_LNC063187)
Source: RNAcentral